GAUAAACGCUGGCGGCGCACAUAAGACAUGCAAGUCGAACGAACUUAAUACCUUGCUUGCAAGGUAAGCGGUUAGUGGCGGACUGGUGAGUAACACGUAAGAAAUCUGCCUAUCAGAGGGGAAUAACAGUGAGAAAUCACUGCUAAUACCGCAUAUGCCAUAGGAAUCGCAUGAUUCCAGUGGGAAAGGAGCAAUCCGCUGAUAGAUGAGCUUGCGUCUGAUUAGCUAGUUGGUGGGGUAAAGGCCUACCAAGGCGACGAUCAGUAGCCGGACUGAGAGGUUGAACGGCCACAUUGGGACUGAGAUACGGCCCAG
This 315-nucleotide ribosomal RNA is filed under the name uncultured bacterium. RNAcentral describes it as "bacterial SSU rRNA". It matches the Rfam family "Bacterial small subunit ribosomal RNA", at positions 28 to 334 of the family's 1533-position model. The record is from RNAcentral.